GAUGAACGCUGGCGGCGUGCCUAAUACAUGCAAGUCGAGCGAACAGACGAGGAGCUUGCUCCUCUGACGUUAGCGGCGGACGGGUGAGUAACACGUGGAUAACCUACCUAUAAGACUGGGAUAACUUCGGGAAACCGGAGCUAAUACCGGAUAAUAUAUUGAACCGCAUGGUUCAAUAGUGAAAGACGGUUUUGCUGUCACUUAUAGAUGGAUCCGCGCCGCAUUAGCUAGUUGGUAAGGUAACGGCUUACCAAGGCAACGAUGCGUAGCCGACCUGAGAGGGUGAUCGGCCACACUGGAACUGAGACACGGUCCAGACUCCUACGGGAGGCAGCAGUAGGGAAUCUUCCGCAAUGGGCGAAAGUCUGACGGAGCAACGCCGCGUGAGUGAUGAAGGUCUUCGGAUCGUAAAACUCUGUUAUUAGGGAAGAACAAUUGUGUAAGUAACUAUGCACGUCUUGACGGUACCUAAUCAGAAAGCCACGGCUAACUACGUG
RNAcentral lists this ribosomal RNA (497 nucleotides) under uncultured bacterium. RNAcentral describes it as "partial 16S ribosomal RNA". It matches the Rfam family "Bacterial small subunit ribosomal RNA", at positions 28 to 507 of the family's 1533-position model. The record is from RNAcentral.